GUUGAUAAGGUUAAGUGAAUAAGGGCGCACGGUGGAUGCCUUGGCACUAGGAGCCGAUGAAGGACGGGACUAACACCGAUAUGCUUUGGGGAGCUGUACGUAAGCUAUGAUCCAGAGAUUUCCGAAUGGGGGAACCCAACAUCUUUAAUAGGAUGUUACGAUUGUGUGAAUACAUAGCACAUUCGAGGUAGACGCAGAGAACUGAAACAUCUAAGUACCUGCAGGAAGAGAAAGAAAAUUCGAUUCCCUGAGUAGCGGCGAGCGAAACGGGAAAAGCCCAAACCAGCAAGCUUGCUUGUUGGGGUUGUAGGACUCCAAUAUGGUAGUUCUUUCAGAUAGUCGAAUGACUUGGAAAAGUCAGUCAAAGAGGGUAAAAACCCCGUAGACGAAAUGUGGAAGACACCUAGGAGGAUCCUGAGUACGGCGGAACACGAGAAAUUCCGUCGGAAUCCGGGAGGACCAUCUCCCAAGGCUAAAUACUCCCUAGUGACCGAUAGUGAACCAGUACCGUGAGGGAAAGGUGAAAAGCACCCCGGAAGGGGAGUGAAAUAGAACCUGAAACCGUGUGCCUACAACAAGUCAAAGCCCGUUAAUGGGUGAUGGCGUGCCUUUUGUAGAAUGAACCGGCGAGUUACGAUUGCAUGCGAGGUUAAGUUGAAGAGACGGAGCCGCAGCGAAAGCGAGUCUGAAUAGGGCGUUUGAGUAUGUAGUCGUAGACCCGAAACCAUGUGAUCUACCCAUGUCCAGGUUGAAGGUGCGGUAAAACGCACUGGAGGACCGAACCCACGUACGUUGAAAAGUGCGGGGAUGAGGUGUGGGUAGCGGAGAAAUUCCAAACGAACUUGGAGAUAGCUGGUUCUCUCCGAAAUAGCUUUAGGGCUAGCCUCGGAAUUGAGAAUGAUGGAGGUAGAGCACUGUUUGGACUAGGGGCCCAUCUCGGGUUACCGAAUUCAGAUAAACUCCGAAUGCCAUUCAUUCAUAUCCGGGAGUCAGACUGUGAGUGAUAAGAUCCAUAGUCGAAAGGGAAACAGCCCAGACCACCAGCUAAGGUCCCAAAAUAUAUGUUAAGUGGAAAAGGAUGUGGGGUUGCACAGACAACUAGGAUGUUGGCUUAGAAGCAGCCACCAUUUAAAGAGUGCGUAAUAGCUCACUAGUCGAGUGACCCUGCGCCGAAAAUGUACCGGGGCUAAACAUAUUACCGAAGCUGUGGAGUACACCUUUAGGUGUAUUGGUAGGAGAGCGUUCUAAGGGCGUUGAAGGCAGAUCGUGAGGACUGCUGGAGCGCUUAGAAGUGAGAAUGCCGGUAUGAGUAGCGAAAGACAGGUGA
Molecule: ribosomal RNA, 1327 nt
Filed under: Salmonella enterica subsp. enterica serovar Enteritidis
Lineage: Bacteria; Pseudomonadati; Pseudomonadota; Gammaproteobacteria; Enterobacterales; Enterobacteriaceae
Description: partial 23S ribosomal RNA
Rfam family: Bacterial large subunit ribosomal RNA
Source: RNAcentral